AGGGCACACAGUGAAUGCCUUGGCACCAAGAGCCGACGAAGGACGCAACUAACGGCGAAACGCCACGGGGAGCGGUAAGUGCGCGACGAUCCGUGGGACUCCGAAUGGGGGAACCCACCACGUGGAAGACGUGGUAUCCAGAGAUGGAAGGAAAACGCGGGGAACUGAAAUAUCUAAGUACCCGCAGGAAAAGAAAGUAAGAACGAUUCCGCCAGUAGUGACGAGCGAACGCGGAGGAGCCUGACACCAGAACAGUUACAAAACCACAUUUUAGGCGAGCGGCGUGGGAAAGCCGGCCAGAGAGGGUGAGAGCCCCGUAGCCGAAAGGGUGUGGACUGGGGUGUCGAGAAGUACGGCGGGACACGAGGAAUCCUGUCGGAAGAUGCGAGGACCAUCUCGUAAGGCUAAAUACUCCUUGGUGACCGAUAGUGAACCAGUACCGUGAGGGAAAGGUGAAAAGAACCCCGGGAGGGGAGUGAAAAGACUCUGAAACUGUAUGCUUACAAAAAGUCAGAGGCCGUUAAAGGCUGAUGGCGUGCCUAUUGAAGAAUGAGCCGGCGAGUUAUGAUGUCGUGCAAGGUUAAGUCGAAGAGACGGAGCCGUAGUGAAAGCGAGCCUAAAUCGGGCUUUAGUACGACAGCAUAGACCCGAAACCCGACGAUCUAUCCAUGAUCAGGUUGAAGGUGGGGUAAAACCCACUGGAGGACCGAACCGACGUUCGUUGAAACGCCCGCGGAUGAAUUGUGGAUAGGGGAGAAAUUCCAAUCGAGUUGGGAGAUAGCUGGUUCUCCCCGAAAUAGCUUUAGGGCUAGCGUCUGAUAUAGUUGGUGGAGGUAGAGCACUGAAUGUGAGAUGGCCGUGAUUAACGGUACUGAUCAUAAUCAAACUCCGAAUGCCAUCAAUGUUAGUCAGGCAGUCAGUCUGUGGGAGAUAAGUUCCAUGGACAAAAGGGAAACAGCCCAGACCGUCAAAUAAGGUCCCUAAAUUCAUGCUAAGUGUUAAAGGAUGUGGAGAUGCUCAAACAACUAGGAUGUUCGCUUAGAAGCAGCCAUCAUUUAAAGAGUGCGUAACAGCUCACUAGUCGAGUGCCUCCGCGCCGAAGAUUUACCGGGGCUAAGCAUGAUACCGAAUUUACGGAUUUAAUGUUUCAUUAAGUGGUAGGGGAGCGUUCCAUUUGCGGUGAAGCCAUACCGAGAGGAGUGGUGGAGCGGAUGGAAGUGAGUAUGCCGGUGUAAGUAACGAAUAUGGGUGAGAAUCCCAUACACCGAUUGACUAAGGUUUCCUGGGGAAGGUUCGUCCACCCAGGGUUAGGCGGGACCUAAGGCGAGGCCGAAAGGCGUAGUCGAUGGACAGCAGGUUGAUAUUCCUGCCCCCGUGCAUAUGCGAUGUAGUGACAGAGACGGUUAACUGAUCCGGUUAUUGGAUUCCGGUCCAAGCGAGGUACCUGUGUCAUAGGAAAAUCCGUGACACGCAAGGGGAAGGCGUGAUGGGGAGUGAAUGGGGCAACCCUAGUAACGAAGUCAGUGAUACCAGCUCUCAAGAAAAGCUGCUAGCUUAAGUAUGCGCGGCCUGUACCGAGAACGGACACACGUGGUCAAGAUGAGUAAUCUAAGGUGAGCGAGAUAACUGUUGUUAAGGAACUCUGCAAAAUUGCUUCGUAAGUUCGCAAGAAGAAGCGCUCCAGCGAUGGAGCCGCAGUGAAGAGGCCCAGGUAACUGUUUAACAAAAACACAGCUCUAUGCUAAGUCGCAAGACGAUGUAUAUGGGGUGAUGCCUGCCCAGUGCUGGAAGGUUAAAAGGAGAGGUUAGCCGCAAGGCGAAGCUUUGAUCUGAAGCCCCAGUGAACGGCGGCCGUAACUAUAACGGUCCUAAGGUAGCGAAAUUCCUUGUCAGGUAAGUUCUGACGCGCACGAAUGGUAUAAUAAUCUGGGCGCUGUCUCGACAGCAGACUCGGUGAAAUCUUAAUACCUGUGAAGAUGCAGGUUACCCGCGACUAGACGGAAAGACCCCAUGGAGCUUUACUGUAACUUAAUAUUGAGUUGUUGUAAGUCAUGUACAGGAUAGGUGGGAGGCUUUGAAGCCGGGGCGUCAGCUUCGGUGGAGCCAAUCUUGGGAUACCACUCUUGAUUUACGACAAUUCUAACUUGCGCCCUCACCGGGCGGAGGACAGUGUUAGGCGGGCAGUUUGACUGGGGCGGUCGCCUCCCAAAAUGUAACGGAGGCGCCCCAAGGUAUCCUCAGCACGGUUGGAAAUCGUGCGGCGAGUGCAAAGGCAUAAGGAUGCUUGACUGUGAGACUUACAAGUCGAACAGGGACGAAAGUCGGGCUUAGUGAUCUGGCGGUGCCGAGUGGAAGGGCCGUCACUUAACGGAUAAAAGCUACCCUGGGGAUAACAGGCUGAUCGCGUCCAAGAGUUCACAUCGACGACGCGGUUUGGCACCUCGAUGUCGGCUCAUCACAUCCUGGAGGGGAAGUACCUUCCAAGGGUUGGGCUGUUCGCCCAUUAAAGUGGUACGCGAGCUGGGUUCAAAACGUCGUGAGACAGUUUGGUCCCUAUCUGUCGUGGGCGCAAGAAGUUUGAGAGGACCUGUCCCUAGUACGAGAGGACCGGGAUGGACAUAGCGCUGGUGCACCAGUUGUCACGCCAGUGGCACGGCUGGGUAGCUACCUAUGGAAUGGAUAAACGCUGAAAGCAUAUAAGCGUGAAGCCAACCUCAAGAUGAGACUUCU
This 2730-nucleotide ribosomal RNA is filed under the name activated sludge metagenome. RNAcentral's name for it is "bacterial LSU rRNA". It matches the Rfam family "Bacterial large subunit ribosomal RNA". The record is from RNAcentral.